GUAGCCAUUUCCUUCUGCAGGGGAUCUUCCUGACCUAGGGAUCAAGCCCGUAUUUCCUGCACUGGCAGGCGGAUUCUUUACCGCUGAGCCACCAACUGAUCACAGACCUCAAUAUACACAUGCUAAAGUAGACUUCAUAUCUGAACCGGAUCUGAGGACCCCCCAAAAUGCUUAGGGGUGGAAAAAGAAACCACCAAAUCCUUUCUGAUAUCUGUGACAUCAUCUAGAACAGUGAAGAGAUCUGAAUCUGAAAGACUCAGAAGACCAGGUUUCUCCCUCCUACAUUUUCCUCCUCCUGAAAACUUGAGCAAACCUCUUAACCUCAUGAAGCCUCGAUGUCUUCAUCUGUCAUCCUGAAGUAACACAUGUACUAGAUAGGGCUAGGCAUGUUUAGACAUCCCACCUGUUUUAAUCUCUAUAACAAGCCAGGAAUAUAGGCAUCUGAUUUCCAUUUUAAAGAGGAGGAAACUGAAGUCCAGAGAGUUUAACUAAUUUUCCCACUUUACCACAGCUGGUAAGCAGCAGAGGUGGGAUUCAGAGAUUCAAGCCCCCAGUUCCAGAGAUUUCACUUAUUCCUUCAUUUAUUGCUUCAUUCCAAAAAGUUACUGAGCAUCUACUACACACCAGGGCAGCAGAGGGUGAGGUUGGACAGCCCUCACCGAUUCAAUGAUCAUGAACUUGAGUGAACUCCAGGAGACAGGUGAGGGGCAGGGAGGCCUGGCCGUGCUGCAGUCCAUGGGCUCACAGAGUCGGACGCGACCUAGCGACUCAACAACAACAGCACACACCAGACACGCCUCUCGAUGCCGGGGACACAGCAGUCCCUAACACAGACAAACAUCGCCCUGUUCAGAGCACUUAGAUUUCCACUCGGUCAGGCUGUCCUUCUAAAACUGGUCGCACAAAGGAACGGGGGCAACAGGACCGCAGUGGCCCAGAUCAGCCCCUUGGCACGCACACCGUCUUCAGAAGGAGGGCGCAGGAAGACUCGCGGGAAGACGCUAGCCCCGCCCACAGGCGAAAGGUGGAGCCAGGUGAAAAUCCACUGGGAAAGGGACAAAGGAGAGCAGCCUCAUCAACCCCUAGAAGCCCAGGAAACGCUCGCUCACAGUGCACUCCUGAAUGAUAACCACGGUGGAGCGGCAGGCCGGGUGCGCUGAAAGGAAGGACCGCAGAUUUUCUCCACACUCAUACGAAGCCAGAAGACUUUCCCAUCUUCACGUAUUUGAUGAUGCUGAGACCCACAAAGAUUCAGACCACCCGUGGAAUGGAUUUGCCUUGAUCCUUUGCUGGUGCUAGUGGUAAAGAACCCACCUGCCAAUGCAACAUUAUGUAAGAGAUGCAGGUAUGAUC
This 1353-nucleotide long non-coding RNA is filed under the name Capra hircus (goat). RNAcentral describes it as "lncRNA (ENSCHIG00000002254.1)". Lineage: Eukaryota; Metazoa; Chordata; Mammalia; Artiodactyla; Bovidae. The record is from RNAcentral.